This 311-nucleotide ribosomal RNA is filed under the name uncultured eukaryote. RNAcentral describes it as "partial 18S ribosomal RNA". It matches the Rfam family "Eukaryotic small subunit ribosomal RNA", at positions 1470 to 1796 of the family's 1831-position model. The record is from RNAcentral.
CCCCUAGACGUUCUGGGCUGCACGCGCGCUACAAUAAUACGCACAGCGAGUAUCACCGAGCUCGAAAGGGCAAGGUAAACAAUAGAAAAGGUACUGUAAUGGUUAUAGAUCCUUGUAAUUAUUGACCUUCAACGAGGAAUUCCUAGUAAGUAUGUGUCAUCAUCACGCACUGAUUACGUCCCUGCCCUUUGUACACACCGCCCGUCGCUCCUACCGAUUGAGUGAGCCGAUGAAACUGCCGGAUGUGGACUAUUCAUAGUCUGCAGAAGAUAUUUGAAUCGUAGCGCUUAGAGGAAGGAGAAGUCGUAACA